RNAcentral lists this long non-coding RNA (793 nucleotides) under Homo sapiens (human). Its description in RNAcentral is "HSALNT0013469". Lineage: Eukaryota; Metazoa; Chordata; Mammalia; Primates; Hominidae. The record is from RNAcentral.
GGAAGCCAGGGGAAGUGAUUGAUUUAUGGGGGCAGGUCUUUCCCAUGCUGUUCCUGUGAUGGUGAAUGAGUCUCAUGAGAUCUGAUGGUUUUAAACAUGAGAGUUUCUCUGCAUAAGCUCUCUCUUUGCCUGCCACCACGCUCAUAAGAUGUGACUUCCUCCUCCUUGCCUUCUACCAUGAUUGUGAGGCCUCCCUAGCCAUGUUGAACUGUGAGUCCAAUUAAACCUCUUUAUUUUGUAAAUUGCCCAGUAUGUCUUUGUCAGCAGUGUGAAAUGGACUAAUACAAAGUCUUUGCCUAAGCCUUAUAGUAUAGUUUGAAGUGAAGUGAAAAGUGAAGCCAGGUAUUACAAGAAAUGAAGCAGUAUCUUCAAACAUACUUUCUGGUGCCCAAAUGAGAGAGUUUUUGCCAAUAUGCCAAUAUUCUGGCUGUGUGUGGUGGCUCAUGCCUGUAAUCCGAGCACUUUGGAAGGCCGAGACAGGUGGAUCACCUGAGGUCAGGAGUUUGUGGCCACCCUGGACAACAUGGCAAAACCCCAUCUCUACUAAAAAUACAAAAAUUAGCAGGUGUUGUGGCACUCAUCUGUAAUCCUAGGUACUCCGGAGGGUGAGACAGCAGCAUUGCUUGAAACCAGGAGACAGAGGUUGCAGUGAGCAAGAUCAUGCCACUGCACUCCAGCCUGGGCGACAGAGCAAGACUCUGUCUCAAAAGAAAAAAAAAUGUAGAUUCUCAUGAUUUUUUAUUUUACAAAACAAUAUGAUUAUUAAUAAAACAGUUUGACUUUUUUCCUUCCA